GACAGAAAAGCCUUCUCCAUCUCCUACACACUCUGAAAUAAUCUGUCAGAAGAUCCUCAUCCUGCCGUGCUGGCUUACUCUGGAUCAAGAGACAAAGACUCCAGCUCUAUCUCUGAUGGACCGAGUAGGAAGAAUCAGCAUGAGUCAACCCACCAGGUUUCCCAGAGCUUAAUCCAGAAGGGACCCAAACACUAGGGCCUCAAGAACUGCAGUCUUGGCCAGGCACGGUGGCUCACGCCUGUAAUCCCGGCACUUUGGGAGGCCGAGGCAGGCAGAUCACCUGAGGUCAGGAGUUCGAGACCAGCCUGACCAACAUGGUGAAACCCCAUCUCUACUAAAAAUACAAAAUUAGCCAGGCAUGGUUGGCACAUGCCUGUAAUCCCAGCUACUUGGGAGGCUGAGACAGGAGAAUCGCUUGAACCCAGGAGGCAGAAAAAAGAAAAAAGAGAGAGCUGCAGUCUUUUUCAUUUAGCCUCCUAUGAACAUAUGUCUAGGUCACAAAUCCUUUCCUUGUAUCCUCUGACCUUGUGGCGUCCUGUGUCCUUUUACUGUGCUCAGGCCUCCAGGUUGGAGUCAUGCAAAACCAUCUAAGAAACAACUGAGCCUUAGGAAAAGCUAGAAGAGCUUCUUCUACUAAAUGAUAAACAUCAAAGGCAGUCCAAGAGUUUUAAAGCCCAAAUGAGAAAGAAUGCCCCCGCUACACACACAUAGCACCCUACACUCACGUCACCUAAGGUUUAUAUCUUAAUGACUUCAUAAAAUAUGUUCAUUAUAAAACAUUUGUAGAAACUCACAAAAAAAAACCUAAUUCCCAGUUAAUUACUAUAUUAAAUGUAUUCCUUCUCAUCUUCUCUCUGUACUUCUAUGAGUGUUCUCUUUUGCAAUAGUGUGACCCUAUUACACAUAAUAUUUUUUAACUUCUCUUUUCAAAAUUAACAGCCCUCUAAGCAUUCUUUUCAACUUCUAAAAUUAAAUCUUGUUGUGGCCAUAGAUGACUUCUGUUUGCUUUUGUAACUCCAGCUGCCAGCCUACUGCUUUGCACACAGUAAGUGUUCAAUAACUAUUGAAAAAGUGAAUGUAUGAAUGAGUGAAUGAUGAU
Homo sapiens (human) is the source of this 1099-nucleotide long non-coding RNA. Ensembl annotates it as prostate cancer associated 3. Its record names the gene PCA3. NCBI's taxonomy places the organism in Eukaryota, Metazoa, Chordata, Mammalia, Primates, Hominidae. The record is from Ensembl.